AUGAACUUUACCACAAAUUCGACGAGGAUCACGAAUAUGUGGUUAUUUUGUAAAAAAUGAUCAAAGGCUAUGCCGUCUAGUGUCAGAAAGAAGAAACGUUCAAAAAUCAAAAGUAAGCAUGAAAACAAUGUCCGCUCUAGCUCGUUGACUGGUUGCACUCAAUUGAAAGAACUGAAAAAAAAGCCACCCCACAGCAUCACACAUCACAACACAAGAAACAAGGUGAUAUGGAUGCCAGUCCUACUUCUAAAACUGUGGAGGAGGCAGUGAUAUCCGUUAUGUGCCUUGUCUGCAAGUGAUUCCAGACGUUUCAGCACUUGGGCAACAGUGCUUUGUGACAGUACUGUUAAAGGAAAAACACCCUUGGCUACAUACUACAAGGCAACAGCAAAUGUAAUCACUAAUGAUGGUGAAGAUGAAAAAUCCUUUCCACACACCUCCCUGUAUGACAACAACAGCAUGUUCCUGGCUCAUUCGAUCUUCACUCUAGGGACUGGGCAUCUAAUUAAGUCUCCCUUUUAGCUUUAUUCCUGUCAUUCUGCACUUUGCCUUACCUGUGAUAAAUGUCUCUUUUUUUCUAUAGGAUUUUAUGGCUAUUCGUAAUUGGAGAGUAGCAUUGGAAUGUGACAGCUUGUCUGGCCUAAAAGUCUUACUAAAUAGAUUCCUUUUGGGAAACUUUGUCUGUCCUCAUGCUAAAUUUUUAUUUUUAUUCAAUUAUCAAAAGAAAAAUCGAAACCCUGUUCACGACUUUGAAGAAAGUGCACUCGUACUACAGAACAACCUCAACAUAUCGAAAGACGAGCGGGAUUAGAUCCUUCGUGUUGUUGCAUUCAUUGGUUUAUCCGAAUUAGGACGCGAGCGACUCUUGUCUCCGGAGGCUCCGUUGUCAGUAUCAUCGAAUCCGAGUAGUGGAACGUGCAACGACGACUGGCAAGGGAAUUUCAAACUUCAGAACGCGUUAGAAUGUUGAUUUCCUGACGUCUCGCAACUGGAAGGAUGAGGAUCAAGUCGACAUGUCACAUGUCACAUUUAAAUCGCAACAUCGACAUCACAACGCUUUACUAAAUCUCUGGUCGAAGUGUCACUGCUCACACGAUGAUUGUAAUUGCUUGUGAUCGAUGUUGAAAUUCGUUUAUUGCAACACGCAGUAAAUAAAAGAAGAGACAAAAAUUUCAAAAUGAUAUUGUAUGGGUAUCGCGCAAAAAUAUUCUUCGUGUUGGCUUUCGUUAUUUUAUUUGUUUAUUCAUUUAUUUGGUUUCAUAUUAAACCAAAAAGUAAACAUUUAGAAAGUAGUAGAAAACUUUCAUGUUGAAGAAAAUUCGCAAAAAAUAAGCUGCAUAAAAAGACUACUACAAAAAGAAUCUAGCGAUUCCUAUCCUAAAUUGUGAACUUUAAGUACGGUCUUGACCAACUUUAUUCUGCAUCAUCCCAUUGUGUUAUGUGAUUAGGCUUCUCUCCUGACGCAUGGCGUUGC
Long non-coding RNA from Daphnia pulicaria, 1474 nucleotides. RefSeq lists it as uncharacterized. NCBI's taxonomy places the organism in Eukaryota, Metazoa, Arthropoda, Branchiopoda, Diplostraca, Daphniidae. The record is from RefSeq and is a predicted model, not a curated record. The transcript is spliced from 4 exons.